GACGAACGCUGGCGGCGUGCUUAACACAUGCAAGUCGAACGGAAAGGCCCUGCUUUGGUGGGGUGCUCGAGUGGCGAACGGGUGAGUAACACGUGAGUAACCUGCCCUUGACUUUGGGAUAACUUCAGGAAACUGGGUCUAAUACCGGAUAGGAGCUCCUGCUGCAUGGUGGGGGUUGGUAAGUUUCGGCGGUUGGUGAGGGACUCGCGGCUUAUCAGCUUGUUGGUGGGGUAGUGACUUACCAAGGCUUGGACGGGUAGCAGGCCUGGGAGGGUGAGCGGCCACAUUGGAACUGAGAUACGGCCCAGACUCCUACGGGACGGAGCAGUGGGGAAUAUUGCACAGUGCGCGGAAGCAUAAUCCAGCAACGCCGCGUGCGGGAUGAGGGGCAUCGCGUUGUAUACCAAUUUCGCCUGUGACGAAGCGUGAAUGACAGUAAUGGGUAAAGAAGCACCGGCUAACUCCGUG
This 468-nucleotide ribosomal RNA is filed under the name uncultured bacterium. Its description in RNAcentral is "partial 16S ribosomal RNA". It matches the Rfam family "Bacterial small subunit ribosomal RNA", at positions 28 to 507 of the family's 1533-position model. The record is from RNAcentral.